GGGUUGUAGCUGGCCUUUUACGAGGCAUGUGCACACCCCACUCAUCCAYUCAACACCUGUGCACACUAUGUAGGUUUAGAUGAGCAUCGGGGCUUCGGCUUCGGUGGGAGUCUGACCUAUGUCUUUAUAAACUCUGUUUAGUAAAUGAAUGUAAUUGCGAUAAACGCAUUUUAUACAACUUUCAGCAACGGAUCUCUUGGCUCUCGCAUCGAUGAAGAACGCAGCGAAAUGCGAUAAGUAAUGUGAAUUGCAGAAUUCAGUGAAUCAUCGAAUCUUUGAACGCACCUUGCGCCCCUUGGUAUUCCGAGGGGCACACCUGUUUGAGUGUCGUGAAAUUCUCAACUCAAAUACCUUUGCUGGUGUUUGAGCUUGGAUUUGGGGGUUUUGCUGGCUUGUGUCGGCUCCCCUUGAAUGUAUUAGCUCGGACCCUUGCGGAUYAGCUAUCGGUGUGAUAAUUGUCUACGCCGUGGUUGUGAUGCCACCUUUUAGGUGUUGAGGGAUCGGCUUCCAAUCGUCCCUUGGGACAAUUAUUUUGAAAUCUGACCUCAAAUCAGGUGGGACUACCCGCUGAACUUAAGCAUAUCAAUAAGCGGAGGAAAAGAAACUAACAAGGAUUCCCCUAGUAACUGCGAGUGAAGCGGGAAAAGCUCAAAUUUAAAAUCUGGCGGUCUUUGGCCGUCCGAGUUGUAGUCUGGAGAAGUGCUUUCCGYGCUGGACCGUGUAUAAGUCUCCUGGAACGGAGYGUCAUAGAGGGUGAGAAUCCCGUCUUUGACACGGACUACCAGUGCUCUGUGAUGCGCUCUCAAAGAGUCGAGUUGUUUGGGAAUGCAGCUCAAAAUGGGUGG
This 845-nucleotide ribosomal RNA is filed under the name Sebipora aquosa. RNAcentral describes it as "eukaryotic LSU rRNA". The stretch from base 541 to 845 matches the Rfam family "Eukaryotic large subunit ribosomal RNA", at positions 1 to 299 of the family's 3401-position model. Lineage: Eukaryota; Fungi; Basidiomycota; Agaricomycetes; Polyporales; Gelatoporiaceae. The record is from RNAcentral.